CGGCACGAUCGAGACUCAUAUUUCAGUUUUUAACAAAUUUUCUGUUUCCAGACUAUAAACUGUCCCCAUGAAAUAUUCAAAAUGUGUGAGAAACACAGUUUGAAAGGACAAGCUGGCAUGAAGCAUCUCGGGACGGUGUUGUUCUCCACAUAUAAGCUAUACAGUUCUCUGGAGAGAUGAAGUUUGAUGAUGGUGGAGAGCAUCGUCAGGUGUUCAGCUGGGUUUAUAAUCAAAGCUCAUGAUUGGUUUGAUUUUAUCUGGGUAAACAGGAUAAAAAGCAGCUUUCUCUCCUCUCAGCAUGAUGGGAAAUCCACCCGUGUAAAGUGAUGUUCGCUUGGCUGAAGUUUGGGUUUCCAGUGUCUUCUUCCUGCCGUGUGCUGGCGUUUGUCUCCACCCACCAGAGUCCAUCAACAAAGUUCAUCCUCCAUCUUUCCUGUGCUAAAGUAGAGAAAAACUAGCAAACACUACCUACAUCUUUUUUUUGUUAUGCUUUUCCAUAUUUUUUGUCACCUUUUUUUUUAAAUUAAACAUGAUCAAAGUUUUUUUUAAUAUGAGAAGGACGAUUUGUUUUAUAUAGACGAGCACAGAUCAAUAUAAUCUGGCUCCCUUUUCACAAAUUCACAUCAAAUGAACCUGUAAUCGUGACUCUAAGGACGUCACAAUGGAUGAGUUCUUAAAAACUCAAAGGGUUUGAAUGCAAGGUCUGUGUGGUGAUGUUGUAAUGAGCGGUUCCGCCUCUGGAGGCCAGUAGAGAGGCUUUUAGGCUUUCGGCGUGACUUCGUAAACACCCUGUCAAAUGAUUCAAGACGUCAGCCCUCAGGGCAGUUCAGCUGCUCCUGCUGCAGCCCCUCACCUCCAGAAAAACAUGAUGCAGAGGGGAUUUUCAUCCAUCUUUCUGUCUCUGUGUUUGUGUGUUCCUGUUGCCACCCUCAUCGCCAUAGAGACGCACUUGAGAGGGUCUGCAUGGAUGAAGUCAGGGCUCAGCAACUUAACAAGACGAAGAUGUGGGUGUACGUGUUUUUAAGUAUUUCAAGACCUCGAGAGGCUUUAAUGUUCUUUAAAGGGAGUUUAAG
Astatotilapia calliptera (eastern happy) is the source of this 1073-nucleotide long non-coding RNA. The record is from Ensembl. NCBI's taxonomy places the organism in Eukaryota, Metazoa, Chordata, Actinopteri, Cichliformes, Cichlidae.